This 392-nucleotide ribosomal RNA is filed under the name uncultured bacterium. RNAcentral describes it as "partial 16S ribosomal RNA". It matches the Rfam family "Bacterial small subunit ribosomal RNA", at positions 523 to 918 of the family's 1533-position model. The record is from RNAcentral.
AUACGGAGGAUCCGAGCGUUAUCCGGAUUUAUUGGGUUUAAAGGGUGUGCAGGCGGCCAUUUAAGUCAGCGGUUAAAUCGUGGGGCUCAACCCCAUUCUGCCGUUGAUACUGGGUGGCUUGAUUGCGGUCGAGGUUGGCGGAAUUCGUUGUGUAGCGGUGAAAUGCAUAGAUAUGACGAAGAACACCGAUUGCGUAGGCAGCUGACCAGACCGCAAAUGACGCUCAUGCACGAAAGUGCGGGGAUCGAACAGGAUUAGAUACCCUGGUAGUCCGCACAGUAAACGAUGAAUACUUGUUUUCGGCGAUAUAAUGUCGGAGGCAAAGCGAAAGCGAUAAGUAUUCCACCUGGGGAGUACGCCGGCAACGGUGAAACUCAAAUGAAUUGGCGGGG